AUGGAAGGCCUUCUACAUUGGGACUUCUUGCCCGGCCUCGCGGUCGCGGCUCAGGUGCGUCGCCGUUUUGGAUCUUCUGUUCAUUUCUGCCCCGAUGGACCGACUAAGGAAUUUUUCUUGGUUGUGUACUUUUCGUCGGCCUCCUUCUCCUUGUCUGAAGAAUCAGUGGUCAUUGCUCUACAAUGCUGCAUCGGAGGUCUACCUUCUGGUCUAAAUGUGCAACAUCUUGAGGGUCGGUCCUUUCGUUUUUCUGUGGCGUCCAAUCGUGUUGGACAUUAUAUCUAUGGUCUCAAAGAUCAAGUUUGGUCGGACUUUGUUUUCCGUUUUCAACUUUAA
This 336-nucleotide ribosomal RNA is filed under the name Triticum aestivum (bread wheat). Its description in RNAcentral is "partial small subunit ribosomal RNA". The record is from RNAcentral. Lineage: Eukaryota; Viridiplantae; Streptophyta; Magnoliopsida; Poales; Poaceae.